UAUAUCUAAAAAUAUUCUAGAUUGUACGGUAUAUUUAUUAUUAUAUUUAUUAUUAUAAAGCACCUAUUCGUCGAUCACAUGACAUUCCACGACAACAGUUCGAUACCGGUACUCUGUUCGCAUACUUAUUUAUAUAUUUCAACUUUCACUGAUAACGAGAGCAACAUUCCACGAGCGGCGUCUUCUGAAUAUUUAGAGGUUAUGUAGAGAUUUCAGACUGGAAGUUCCAGUCUGUGUCGCGUAUCCAGCCGGUUACACGCGCGUGAUCCUGCGGGACGAACGUGCAAUUCAACGGUUUCCUUUUUUUUUUUCUCAUGGUGGAAGGUUUGCCGCUGACAUGCACAAUUUUAACGACUCUUUUUGACACAAGCACGCUCUCUGCGAAUAAUUAGGAGAACCGUGGUUACCGACAGUGUUAAAACAUAGACGGAGAAGAAAGAGAUCUGAAUCGUAAUAGGAUAUUGUUCUGUCCAGAUGGCAGUUUUAAUUGGACAAAUAAACAUUUACCCUAAUUCUCGAUUGUUAUCUGCAAAUAAACCCAUUUUGGAAGUUUAUUGCCGUUAUUGGAAUCGACAUUGCUGAAAAUGAAUGGAUGCAGGUCGAACAGUUGAACAGCUGUGUUGUAAAUACAAAGUAGAUUAUUCUGAAGAGAAGAGCCUACGGCGAAUCGAGCUCGGCCAUUUUCAAUUAACCUUCGAUGUAUGGUUCAGAAAAUCUCAUUUAAUUAGCGUUUGGCGAUUGGAAUUAGCUGUAAUUGCGACGGGCAUUUAAUCGAUUACGAGGUUAUGAAAGGUCAUGUUGAAAGAACAGCGUUGAAGAUGUUAUAUGAAGAGAAUAUAAUGGACGAAGAAAAUGGUCAUAAUUAAUUUUAUACCUUUUUAAUGAAAGAGAUAUGCUAAUUACAGGCGAGCGUGCUCGUGCCUUAUAACUUGAUAUCAGAACAGGAUUAACCUCAUCGUUUAAACCCUCUGAUAACGAGAAUACAAUUCUUCAACUAGUAACAUGUCUACGUUCCCAUCCUGUUUCUAUCCAAAAGGGAAUUUCACCAUGAAAACGGCUCAGUUGGUGAGAGUUGAUCACGUAUCGGGGCAAAAAGUUACUGGUUACCUCAUCGAGUCGAAUAUGGAGCGGCUAAAAAUAGGAAAUCGAUGAGAAACGUCGUGAUUUAGAUCUAACCUAUACCUAAUGCCAUUAAUGGAUGCAAUGAAUAAGGAAAGGAGGAAGGAAAUGAAUCGAACGUGAAAGUAAAAUGGCGGAAUCGAAAUAAAAUCGAUAUUUCGUUCAUUAUUAAGUAAUUUCUCUUCGUUAAUUCGAUUGAUCUCGAAUUGAAUUACUUUCUCUCCGAUGUAUCGAUCCAUCGAACUCGAUUUAUUUGUCUCGAUGUAGAUAUUCAGCGAGAUAGAUGGAGCCUCUCUCGAAGGGAAUUUCCGUGUCGGGAAAGGUCCAAACGUGUAACGAUCAAUUUCACGGUGGGUCAACCUGUUUGAAACUCGAUCAGUGCGACGAUAAUGCGAUUUAUUCCGGAUGCUUGCGAACUUUCAGCGAACUGUUGCUUCUUCGAGGUGUGGAAGAAGCACGUAGAUGUGGUUUCACGCCUGUGAUUGUGGUUUGAGAAGAAAGAGUAGAGUAAUAGUUCAAGGCUCGAUUCGAGUUUCAUUGAAAGUAAUUGAUGGACUGUAGAUUUUUUUUUUUUUGCAAAAUGUACCAUUAAUUCUUUAUCCAAAAUGUACUUUAUGUUCAAAGUACAAGAUUGUGGGAUAAAAUUCCAUGCAAAUUUAAUUUUGUUCGAUUAAAAAUUCGCCAUUUAAUGAUCACGUUAGAAUUGAAACGUUUUUGUAUUUUUUUUUUUUAAUUAUUUGUUAUAUUACAGUAU
This 1873-nucleotide long non-coding RNA is filed under the name Apis mellifera (honey bee). RNAcentral describes it as "uncharacterized LOC100577262". Lineage: Eukaryota; Metazoa; Arthropoda; Insecta; Hymenoptera; Apidae. The record is from RNAcentral.